AACGCGGAACGCACUAAUGAUAACCAAAACAAAUAAAGUUGUUUGGCAGUGUUGAAUACUCCAUAAAGCUGCAUCUUCUACUUUCUUCCCCCAUUUUCGAGAGAGAGAGAGAAUGGAUCCACCUCAAGUUCAAUCUAUUGAAAAGUAUCCUCCCAUGGAAGACGACCAAGACAAAGCCAUUAACCAGUGCUGCUCUUGCUUCUACGACUGUACGGAUAGCUGCUUUGACUUCUUAUUCUGUGACCUCUGCUAGAACAAGACUACAUCAAUGAGUUUUCAAUUUCCAUUUUCUCAAUUACCUCUUUUCUUGCUUAAUCUUCUUUCAUUUUCUAUCACAUUUCUUCUUCGCUUUUUUUAUGGCUUUUAUAAUUCAACAAUCAUGUUAUGAUGGAUGCUAUCCUAAUGAAAUCAUUUUAGUAUAGUAAAUUUCAUAUAUAUGGAAAUACAUGAUUUGGUUCAAAUAAGAAUUAUUUUUACAAUAUAAAUUAGAAACUAUUUCCGUCCAUCAAAUUGUAAAGAUCUACAAUGAUAUUCUCUACUAUACAUUUAACUUUUUUUAGCAA
This is a long non-coding RNA of Salvia splendens (bonfire salvia), 563 nucleotides long. RefSeq lists it as uncharacterized. Lineage: Eukaryota; Viridiplantae; Streptophyta; Magnoliopsida; Lamiales; Lamiaceae. The record is from RefSeq and is a predicted model, not a curated record. The transcript is spliced from 2 exons.